This is a long non-coding RNA of Esox lucius (northern pike), 783 nucleotides long. RefSeq lists it as uncharacterized. The record is from RefSeq and is a predicted model, not a curated record. The transcript has 3 exons. NCBI's taxonomy places the organism in Eukaryota, Metazoa, Chordata, Actinopteri, Esociformes, Esocidae.
ACACAAUGCAAGGUAAUUCCCAUGAGCCUGAUCGCCAGUUAAUGAGUGCCACUGUAUCGCGGAAGAAACGUACAGGAUGCCUCAUUGAAACAACUCCCAAAGGAUUCAAAAGAGUCGAUGAUCGUCCUCUAGCAGCACAAACAAGACUCAAACCUAGACUGUGGCAGUUGGCUUGCCACAGUAGAUAUUCAAAGGGUGCCAACAGGGGGAGACAAGGAGCUCUAUUAUACCCCUCAGGCAGAAGGAGAACGCACCUCGGUACAAAGGACUGGACUGGAGGACCAGGUGAUGCUAAUCAGCAGCCAGUGACUAGGGACCAUUGGGCAACAUGAGAUGAGCAUGGUAGAGGACCCGAGUGCAAUGGCUAUGAACACCAAUGUGGCAAAGCUGGAAGGACACACUGGAGUGAAGGUCUGGAAAGAAUACAGUACAACUAUAAGGGAAGUGAUUUUAAUUGCUAUUUAUUUUGAGACAAACACAUCACUGCUUUUAAAGAGAAAGGGACCAAGUCAAAUGGACAGUUUUUAAAGGGGACAGGUGCAUAAUCAUUGUUUUAUCAAAUUGGGACUGGUCAACCAAGUGACAAUUUCUAGAUGUGAGCGCGACAGGAGAAACCUUUAGUUGACAUGGACGGAUGUUCGGUCGCCAGGCCGGUGGUUGAAUAACACAGAGGUGAAGGAUGGAAGAGACAGGCUGCCCAAACCACCUCCACACUCCCCCUGGGUGAAAGGACUCAUGUUAAUGCACUCAUUCUUAGAAUUCUAUUGCCUGUCAGAUUUCAGA